GUUACUUUACUUGGAGCGGAAACGAGAACUUUUCUGUUUCAAAGGUUUUUGCAAUAAUUGCUUACUUAAA
This 70-nucleotide transfer RNA is filed under the name Armadillidium nasatum. RNAcentral describes it as "tRNA-Asn". Lineage: Eukaryota; Metazoa; Arthropoda; Malacostraca; Isopoda; Armadillidiidae. The record is from RNAcentral.